UACGUAGGGUGCAAGCGUUGUCCGGAAUUAUUGGGCGUAAAGAGCUCGUAGGCGGUUUGUCGCGUCUGUUGUGAAAACUGGAGGCUCAACCUCCAGCUUGCAGUGGGUACGGGCAGACUAGAGUGCGGUAGGGGAGAUUGGAAUUCCUGGUGUAGCGGUGGAAUGCGCAGAUAUCAGGAGGAACACCGAUGGCGAAGGCAGAUCUCUGGGCCGUAACUGACGCUGAGGAGCGAAAGCGUGGGGAGCGAACAGG
This 253-nucleotide ribosomal RNA is filed under the name uncultured bacterium. RNAcentral describes it as "partial 16S ribosomal RNA". It matches the Rfam family "Bacterial small subunit ribosomal RNA", at positions 524 to 776 of the family's 1533-position model. The record is from RNAcentral.